AUUAUUUUGGCAGAUUAGUGCGAUUGAUUUAGAAUCUUUAUAUGUAAUUUAUUACAAGUAAUA
Molecule: transfer RNA, 63 nt
Filed under: Anaspis sp. ANA02
Lineage: Eukaryota; Metazoa; Arthropoda; Insecta; Coleoptera; Scraptiidae
Description: tRNA-Leu
Source: RNAcentral